CGGGUGAGUAACGCGUAGGAAUCUGCCUAGUAGUGGGGGAUAACUUGUGGAAACGCAAGCUAAUACCGCAUACGCCCUACGGGGGAAAGAAGGCCUCUUCUUGAAAGCUUUCACUAUUAGAUGAGCCUGCGUUGGAUUAGCUAGUUGGUAGGGUAAGAGCCUACCAAGGCUACGAUCCAUAGCUGGUCUGAGAGGAUGAUCAGCCACACUGGGACUGAGACACGGCCCAGACUCC
Molecule: ribosomal RNA, 235 nt
Filed under: uncultured bacterium
Lineage: Bacteria
Description: partial 16S ribosomal RNA
Rfam family: Bacterial small subunit ribosomal RNA
Source: RNAcentral